GGGAUGCAGGAGUUCUGUGCUGACUCAGGGAGGGGUAAAUCUGUUUAACAAAAGUUAAAUUGGAGCAGUCACACAAACCAGGAAUUUUUCUCAGGAUACAGAGAACAAAAAUGGGCACCACUGCAGUUCCAGUGUAAAUGGCAGAGAAAGAGCAGGGAAGAGCAUCAUGUCAGUUCUGAAGUUUGAACCAAUGUGACUGAAACUGAAGCCGUGGUGAUGCUUCUUUAAUUAAAGCAUUUCUCACAAGGGCUUUGAGAUGCAGGAGAAAAAUAAUAAGGCAAGCCAACAUCAGGACAAGCAGCUAAGGAUCAUGCUCUGCUGGUUCUCAGAAUAGCAAAGAAAAUGCAGGAAAGCUUUGAAGGGGCUUUGAACAUCAGAAAAAUCUUUGGCAAUACCUGAAGCCCACAGAAUUUCUGAGUUAUGUGAACCUAAAGCAGAAGAGAAGAGGAGACAAAGUGAACUGAAGAGCUGAAGGAUUAAAAAUAGCCUCAGAGAUUAGAGCUGCUCAGAGGUUACAGGCCCAUGAAACAUCCCACAGGAGGGUUUGUGGGGAACAGGAGCAUGUUUCUGAUUUACAGGCAGCAGCACAAGCAGAACAUCCUUGUGCCACCCUGAUGAGACACCCCAAGGAACACCCAACACAUUUCCCUCAGGGGCAAGGGAAGAGCACUGAUAACCCAGCAAACUGUCUUUAAAUCCCUGUAAUCCCUGUGUUUUCCACUGCCUGC
Long non-coding RNA from Manacus vitellinus (golden-collared manakin), 728 nucleotides. RefSeq lists it as uncharacterized. NCBI's taxonomy places the organism in Eukaryota, Metazoa, Chordata, Aves, Passeriformes, Pipridae. The transcript has 3 exons. The record is from RefSeq and is a predicted model, not a curated record.